Molecule: ribosomal RNA, 402 nt
Filed under: uncultured bacterium
Lineage: Bacteria
Description: bacterial SSU rRNA
Rfam family: Bacterial small subunit ribosomal RNA
Source: RNAcentral
AUUGAACGCUGGCGGCAUGCCUUACACAUGCAAGUCGAACGGUAGAGUAGCAAUACUUGAGAGUGGCGAACGGGUGAGUAAUAUAUCGGAACGUGCCCAACUGUGGGGGAUAACGUAGAGAAAUUUACGCUAAUACCGCAUACGAUCUAAGGAUGAAAGCGGGGGAUCGCAAGACCUCGCGCAGUUGGAGCGGCUGAUAUCAGAUUAGCUUGUUGGCGAGGUAAAAGCUCACCAAGGCGACGAUCUGUAGCUGGUUUGAGAGAACGACCAGCCACACUGGGACUGAGACACGGCCCAGACUCCUACGGGAGGCAGCAGUGGGAAUUUUGGACAAUGGGCGAAAGCCUGAUCCAGCAAUGCCGCGUGCAGGAAGAAGGCCUUCGGUUGUAACUAGCUUUGUAC